UACAGAGGUCUCAAGCGUUGUUCGGAUUCAUUGGGCGUAAAGGGUGUGUAGGUGGCGCGCUAAGUCGGGUGUGAAAUUUCGGAGCUUAACUCCGAAACUGCAUUCGAUACUGGCGUGCUUGAGGACUGGAGAGGAGACUGGGAAUUCAUGGUGUAGCAGUGAAAUGCGUAGAGAUCAUGAGGAAGACCAGUGGCGAAGGCGGGUCGUCUGG
RNAcentral lists this ribosomal RNA (211 nucleotides) under uncultured bacterium. RNAcentral's name for it is "partial 16S ribosomal RNA". It matches the Rfam family "Bacterial small subunit ribosomal RNA", at positions 524 to 732 of the family's 1533-position model. The record is from RNAcentral.